UUAAGCCAUGUGCGAGUCGAGAGGUGCAAGACCUCGGCGCACUGCUCAGUAACACGUGGACAACCUACCCUGUGGAGGGGGAUAACCCCGGAAAACUGGGGAUAAUACCCCAUAGGUUAGGGAGGCUGGAAUGCCCCCUAGCUCAAAGGUCCGCCGCCACAGGAUGGGUCUGCGGCCGAUUAGGUUGUUGUUGGGGUAACGGCCCAACAAGCCUUUGAUCGGUACGGGUUGUGGGAGCAAGAGCCCGGAGAUGGAUUCUGAGACACGAAUCCAGGCCCUACGGGGCGCAGCAGGCGCGAAAACUUUACAAUGCGAGAAAUCGUGAUAAGGGAACCCCGAGUGCCCGUAAAUUCGGGCUGUCCGCCAGUGCAAAAAACUGGUGAAGAAAGAGCCGGGCAAGACCGGUGCCAGCCGCCGCGGUAAUACCGGCGGCUCGAGUGGUGGCCACUAUUACUGGGCUUAAAGCGUCCGUAGCUUGGUUGUUAAGUCUCCUGGGAAAUCCAUCGGCUCAACCGAUGGGCGUUCAGGAGAUACUGGCAACCUAGGGACCGGGAGAGGUGAGAGGUACUCCAGGGGUAGGAGUGAAAUCCUGUAAUCCUUGGGGGACCACCUGUGGCGAAGGCGUCUCACUAGAACGGCUCCGACAGUGAGGGACGAAAGCUGGGGGAGCAAACCGGAUUAGAUACCCGGGUAGUCCCAGCUGUAAACGAUGCGCGUUAGGUGUAUCGGUGACCACGAGUCACCGAGGUGCCGAAGAGAAAUCGUGAAACGUGCCGCCUGGGAAGUACGGUCGCAAGGCUGAAACUUAAAGGAAUUGGCGGGGGAGCACCACAACAGGUGGAGCCUGCGGUUUAAUCGGACUCAACGCCGGGAAGCUCACCGGAUAAGACAGCUGAAUGAUAGCCGGGUUGAAGACUCUGCUUGACUAGCUGAGAGGAGGUGCAUGGCCGCCGUCAGUUCGUACCUAAGUAA
This 972-nucleotide ribosomal RNA is filed under the name uncultured Methanomicrobiales archaeon. Its description in RNAcentral is "bacterial SSU rRNA". It matches the Rfam family "Archaeal small subunit ribosomal RNA", at positions 44 to 1023 of the family's 1478-position model. Lineage: Archaea; Methanobacteriati; Methanobacteriota; Methanomicrobia; Methanomicrobiales. The record is from RNAcentral.